This 562-nucleotide ribosomal RNA is filed under the name Bimastos rubidus. Its description in RNAcentral is "partial 16S ribosomal RNA". The record is from RNAcentral. Lineage: Eukaryota; Metazoa; Annelida; Clitellata; Crassiclitellata; Lumbricidae.
AUCCCUAUAUACCCUACAUAAUAAAUCUAAUUAAAACACUAAUAUAAUAAAUUUCUAUUCAAUAUCAAACCAAAAGUACUGAAAAGGAAAUACAAAUUAACUUUAAGUAGUGAAGUCUCACGUACCUUGUGCAUUAUGGUUUUACAAGCUAUUAAUUAACAAUAUCAUCCCGAAUUCUAUGCGAGCUGCCCCCAUAUUGCUAAGAGCCCACUUUUAAUUGUAGCAUYAAUUUUAGAAAAUAAGGUAGCAGAGGCUACAUACCAUUCGCGCUAGAAAAUUGCUGGUCUUCAGCAAAAUUUAUCAAUUAAAACAUGUAGUACAACUACAGUGUAAGACUAUAGAGGAUAAGCCCUAUAAUCUAAAGCUAACAAAUAAAGAACAAAUAUARAUAGGCUUAAAAMCAGCCAUAUACAGUACUUUACCGUACUACACAUAUAAUAUAUAAAUAUUAUGCYCCAAUAAGCUGAAAUUUAAGAAAAACUUUUUAUCUUAAAAUAUUCUGUAAAAAUAAGUAUUAAUUAAUUAACUAUAUAAAUUAAGUAUAGCAGCAAUAUAAAAACAA